GCCUGCUCUGCGUUCCGAGCGCCGCCGCUGGGGCGGGCGGCUGUGCGAGCCCCCGCGAGGCGGGCCGCUGCGGGAGCUCGGGCCCCCGCUCCGGGUCUCGAGAUCUGGGGGAGAUGACGUGGAACUUGCGUGGGAAAGUCAGCGUGCCUUGACAGACGUCUUGGGAAGUGGGAGGACCUUGGGAGGGAGAUUCGUGCAGAGGCAGGGAAGGAGCUAAGGAGGCCGGGGCGCUGCCUGACUGAGUCCACGGGCAAAUCCAAGGUGGAAACGGGGCGAGAGGAGAGUUACCGAGCAGGAGGACGCGGCCUGGGGCCUCGGCGGAAGGGACUUUAACAGACUGAGCUCCGGAACCGCUCAUGACCCCUACGCUGCAAUGGCACCGCGCACCGGGUUUCAGAUGAAAGACUGCCAGGCGUGGUGGCCUUGCCUCUCGUUCCCGCACUUGGGAGGGCCUAGGCAGGAGGUCGUUUGAGACCAGCCUGGGCAACAGGGAGAGUAGAUACUAAAGUCUGGAAGAAAUAGGUUUGAAAGUUCGGAAUUAGGAUUUAUAUCCCUCACCUGCAUUUGAGAUCUAACAGUUGAUGAGUAACACACAAAAGUGCCUCACUGAAAGUGGACAGAAUAUUUGAAAACCUAAUUCACAUUUAAAAAAAUAUUGUGCCAUGAUCAAAACAGGUAAAAAGAUGUACAUUACAUAUUAAGAGAAACACACACAAUGCAGUUCUUGGUUUUGUGUGGAUAAAACUCAAUAUGCUUUUGGUAUUUGUGCUGAAAAGUGUGACGCGGUGGGUGAAACUACCAAAUACUCUGACCUUUUUAGAAAGUAAUCAGAAAGACUAUGAAGAUUGAAAAUGCACAGGCCUGGGCUGGGUGGAUCCUUGGCAGAGGGUGUGGAUGUGCAAGGCCCUGGGUUUUGUCCCCUGCACUAAUUAAGAUGCACAGACCCUUUGACUUUUAGACAGCCUUCAGAAAUCAAGCCACCAGAACUGACAAUGUAGGUACAAAGACUUGUCUACAAACUCUUCUCAAAAGCCAAGCAUAGCCAUCAUCUCAGUGUCCAUCAAGAGAGAAUGGGUGAUUGAAUCAAAAUGUAUCCAUACCAUGGAAGUGUAGAUGUUCCUAAUGAGAAAAAAAAUUUGUCCAUAAGUAACUAGAAAGUUAUCCAUGUUAUAUUUUGGAGAAAACAAAAAAGGAAGGUACAGAUGAAUGCCUGUGUGUAACUUAAUCUCUCAGUGUGAGUGACUAUGUGUUCCAUACAGGAGGACACCUGUGGCUGCACCCACCCUCCGUGCUGAGUGGCCUCAGGAAGGAAGGUGAGGGGGUUGCACCUUACAUACCACUGCUGUGCUUGAUGUUCACGAGUGUGUGUGACGAAUACAAGUAAGAAUCAGGCACUGGGUUCCCCCCCCCCCCAAGUAAAUAUCCACCUGUGAUCCAGGGCGACUGGGUGGGAAGAAGGGACCCAGCUGGGUGCUCUGACUCAUGGUGGGGAGACCUGAAAUGCUGGCACAUGUUUUAAUCACUCUGGGCCUUGGGGCCUCCAGAAGGUGCCGGAGCAGUUCACAGAAACUCGUGUGUGGGUCUUCCCUCUGCCAGGCAAGAGAGUACCCUCCCUCACCUGUCCUCCCUCUCUGUCCCUGUCUCUGGGCUGCUGCC
Molecule: long non-coding RNA, 1656 nt
Filed under: Marmota monax (woodchuck)
Lineage: Eukaryota; Metazoa; Chordata; Mammalia; Rodentia; Sciuridae
Source: RNAcentral